Molecule: ribosomal RNA, 491 nt
Filed under: uncultured bacterium
Lineage: Bacteria
Description: partial 16S ribosomal RNA
Rfam family: Bacterial small subunit ribosomal RNA
Source: RNAcentral
GUGAACGCUGGCGGUAGGCCUAACACAUGCAAGUCGAACGGCAGCACAGUAAGAGCUUGCUCUUACGGGUGGCGAGUGGCGGACGGGUGAGGAAUACAUCGGAAUCUACUUUUUCGUGGGGGAUAACGUAGGGAAACUUACGCUAAUACCGCAUACGACCUACGGGUGAAAGCAGGGGAUCUUCGGACCUUGCGCGAUUGAAUGAGCCGAUGUCGGAUUAGCUAGUUGGCGGGGUAAAGGCCCACCAAGGCGACGAUCCGUAGCUGGUCUGAGAGGAUGAUCAGCCACACUGGAACUGAGACACGGUCCAGACUCCUACGGGAGGCAGCAGUGGGGAAUAUUGGACAAUGGGCGCAAGCCUGGUCCAGCCAUACCGCGUGGGUGAAGAAGGCCUUCGGGUUGUAAAGCCCUUUUGUUGGGAAAGAAAAGCAGCAGGUUAAUACCCCGCUGUUCUGACGGUACCCAAAGAAUAAGCACCGGCUAACUUCGUG